UACGAAGGGGGCUAGCGUUGCUCGGAAUUACUGGGCGUAAAGCGCACGUAGGCGGUCUUUUAAGUCGGGGGUGAAAUCCUGGAGCUCAACUCCAGAACUGCCUUCGAUACUGGAAGACUUGAGUCCGGGAGAGGUGAGUGGAACUGCGAGUGUAGAGGUGAAAUUCGUAGAUAUUCGCAAGAACACCAGUGGCGAAGGCGGCUCACCGGCCCGGUACUGACGCUGAGGUGCGAAAGCGUGGGGAGCAAACAGG
This 253-nucleotide ribosomal RNA is filed under the name uncultured bacterium. RNAcentral describes it as "partial 16S ribosomal RNA". It matches the Rfam family "Bacterial small subunit ribosomal RNA", at positions 524 to 776 of the family's 1533-position model. The record is from RNAcentral.